Kwoniella newhampshirensis is the source of this 95-nucleotide non-coding RNA. Lineage: Eukaryota; Fungi; Basidiomycota; Tremellomycetes; Tremellales; Cryptococcaceae. The record is from the annotation of a GenBank genome assembly.
GGUAGAGUGUCCGAGUGGUUAUGGAGCAUCGUUCAGGUACAUCUGAGUCUCCGAUGUGUUUACGCGCGCGGGUUCGAAUCCCGUCUCUGCCAUCA